Molecule: non-coding RNA, 226 nt
Filed under: Dethiobacter alkaliphilus
Lineage: Bacteria; Bacillati; Bacillota; Dethiobacteria; Dethiobacterales; Dethiobacteraceae
Description: T-box sequence
Rfam family: T-box leader
About the family: Uncharged tRNA acts as the effector for transcription antitermination of genes in the T-box leader family. T-boxes are found upstream of many aminoacyl-tRNA synthetase genes and some amino acid biosynthetic genes usually in Gram-positive bacteria.
Source: RNAcentral
ACAAAAGCAAUGAUGGGGAGAGUAUUCCAGGCUUAUUUUGCAGAGAGCCGGUGGUUGCUGUGAACCGGUAAAUAACCUUGAUGAAAGUCACCCCGAAGCUGCCGUCUGAAAACUGCCACAGUUAUUAGGCACGGCCGGUUCCUGCCCGUUACAUGCAGGUUGAACCUAAGUCCGGUUAUACCGGAGAAUAAGGGUGGUACCGCGGAGGAAUACUCUCGCCCCUUUC